GCUCAUUUAUAUUCUCAUAUGCAUUCAUUUUGUGCAAACACUCCCAUUUAAUUUAAUUAGUAAUCCUCUUACAAGCUAGGUGCAUAAACAUUACUCCAAGUCCAAGCCUCCAAAUAAGCAACACAAAAUAAACAUUGCUCCAAGCCUCCAAAUAAGCAACACAAAAUAAACAUUGCUCCAAGCCUCCAAAUAAGCAACACAAAAUAAACAUUGCUCCAAGCCUCCAAAUAAGCAACACAAAAUAAACAUUGCUCCAAGCCUCCAAAUAAGCAACACAAAAUAAACAUUGCUCCAAGCCUCCAAAUAAGCAACACAAAAUAAACAUUGCUCCAAGCCUCCAAAUAAGCAACACAAAAUAAACAUUGCUCCAAGCCUCCAAAUAAGCAACACAAAAUAAACAUUGCUCCAAGCCUCCAACUCUCCAAAGUCCAAAUGAAUAACACAAAAUAAACUUUGCUCCAACUCCAAGUCUCCAAGUAAACAACACAAAAUAAACAUUACUCCAAGUCUCCAAACAAACAACACAAAAUAAACAAUCAAACAUUACUCAAAGUCUCCAAAUAAAUAAACAACACAAAAUCACAAAAUAAAUAUUAUCAUUAUAUCAUCCAACAAUAAAAUAAACCAAAAUAAAAAUUAUCAUCCAAAAACAUUUAGUCAUUUAGCUUAUUUUUUUAAUUUUCAGUUUUUUUUUUUAGUUUACAAUGCAAAUCCGAUCGGAUGAUUCGGAUUGAUCCGAAUCCGAUCCGAUCCGAACCAAAUCCGAUCGGAUUGCACAAAUUUCAUCCAAUCGGAUUUGCCUUCAAAUCCGAAUCCGAUCC
RNAcentral lists this long non-coding RNA (821 nucleotides) under Citrus sinensis (sweet orange). RNAcentral's name for it is "long non-coding RNA (CSIN_LNC004952)". The record is from RNAcentral. Lineage: Eukaryota; Viridiplantae; Streptophyta; Magnoliopsida; Sapindales; Rutaceae.